Molecule: long non-coding RNA, 1030 nt
Filed under: Anser brachyrhynchus (Pink-footed goose)
Lineage: Eukaryota; Metazoa; Chordata; Aves; Anseriformes; Anatidae
Description: lncRNA (ENSABRG00000009235.1)
Source: RNAcentral
AUGUUUGUAUGGGUGGGGGUAUUGGAUAAACGGGAAAACACCUCACAAAACAAAGAAAAUACAGCUUACCCUAAAACAAUAAGUAACAUUAUGAAUAAAAGAAAAAGAAAAAAAGAUGGGCUACAGAAAUCACAGAAAGCGAUCGGUAACACAGGAGUAUCGUUAAAAGACAUCGGAAGUUCACAAACAUCUGCAUCUCCAGCAGUCACACGAACCAGAACAAGGCCCCUACAAGUGAGAGGAGAAACACCCCCUGCUUCUCGGCGUGCUUCUGGCCGCUUCUCCCACCCCCACCCCCCCGAUUUUGCAGAUUUUUUUUUUUUCUUUGCGUACUUUAAACUAUACGAUCUCGAUUGUACCCGAAGCCUCGCUGCCCCCAGAUUCCACAUCCCCCAUCCGCGCAGACAGGAGAUGCAUACCCACCGCAUCCCAGCGAUUGUCCGGGCGGUCCCAGCAGCGUGCCGCCGACCUAAGGGGAACAGUAAGAUCUAGAUGGUGCAAGAUGGUCGCUGCCAGUUUCAAUGUCUCUUCAAAUACAGUCUUAUCACCCAAAGGAGAACAAAUACAGUUUUUUAAGACAGAAGAGAAGCGUGAAGAAGUGUUAAGACUUUUUCCAGGAUCACACUGAGACAACAGAAGAACAAGAAAUUCGGAUCUUCAUGUUCUGCACCGUGGUUAUAAUAUUUAAAUUCUCCUGUAACUUGGUAGGUAUCACACAAAUUUGUAAGGCAUUACUUAAAAGCAGACUCUUCCUGGUGUUUCUGGAAUUCUAAACUUAACUUCAGAAAUUUAAUAUUCUUUCAUUCCUUUUUUAUUAUUAUUUUUUUUUUGGUAGAGAAUUUCAGAUGAAUAAUCAUCAGAGCUAAUUCUAUUGUAAUUCAUAUUCAUAAAAUAUUAGUAUCUUUGACUUUUAGAAUAUAUACAUACGUAUAAUUAUUUGUAGUUCUUGUCUGCAAACCCAAAGAGCCAGGAUAAUGCUUUCAGACAAAUAUAGUGUACAUAUCUGUAUACUUUCUCAGUAGUUGAAGGA